AUGUUCUCUGUAGCUCUGAUGCUGCUGCUGGCAGCUGGAUCCUGUGUGUACAGUAUUGAUCUCAUUCAGCCAGACUCAAUGGUUGUGCAGCCUGGACAGUCUUUGACCAUCACCUGUCAGGUCUCUGGUUAUGCAACAGGUUUGAUCAGACAGCGUGAAGGAAAACCAAUGGACUGGAUUUUUGAAAUGUGGGGAGGAGGUGACUUUUACCAAAAUGAUGCACUGAAGAACAAGUUCAGCUACAGCAGAGACACUUCUGCUAGAACAGUGACUAUUAAAGGACAGAAUCUGCAGCCUCAGGACACAGCUGUGUAUUACUGUGUCCGCUGUGUCCGAUGUCUUCCAGCUCUACUUAUCUGA
Scomber japonicus (chub mackerel) is the source of this 360-nucleotide non-coding RNA. Lineage: Eukaryota; Metazoa; Chordata; Actinopteri; Scombriformes; Scombridae. The record is from the annotation of a RefSeq genome assembly.